RNAcentral lists this ribosomal RNA (460 nucleotides) under uncultured bacterium. RNAcentral describes it as "partial 16S ribosomal RNA". It matches the Rfam family "Bacterial small subunit ribosomal RNA", at positions 338 to 795 of the family's 1533-position model. The record is from RNAcentral.
CCUACGGGAGGCAGCAGUGAGGAAUAUUGGUCAAUGGGCGGAAGACUGAACCAGCCAAGUAGCGUGCGGGAUGAAGGUCCUAUGGGUUGUAAACUUCUUUUAUAUGGGAAUAAAAUGUUCCACGUGUGGGAUGUUGUAUGUACCAUAUGAAUAAGGAUCGGCUAACUCCGUGCCAGCAGCCGCGGUAAUACGGAGGAUCCGAGCGUUAUCCGGAUUUAUUGGGUUUAAAGGGUGCGUAGGUGGAUUGUUAAGUCAGUUGUGAAAGUUUGCGGCUCAACCGUAAAAUUGCAGUUGAAACUGGCAGUCUUGAGUACGAUAGAGGUAGGCGGAAUGCGUGGUGUAGCGGUGAAAUGCUUAGAUAUCACGAAGAACUCCGAUUGCGAAGGCAGCUCACUGGACUGACACUGACACUGAGGCUCGAAAGUGUGGGUAUCAAACAGGAUUAGAUACCCCGGUAGUC